UGUAAACGAUGUGCACUAGUGNNUGGGACUAUAGAAGCUCUCGGUCUCGCAGCUAACGCGUUAAGUGCACCGCCUGGCGAGUAUGCUCGCAAGGGUGAACUCAAAGGGAAUUGACGGGGGCCCGCACUAAGCGGUGGAGCUAUGUGGUUAAAUUCGAUGAUACGCGAGAACUCUUACCAGGGCUUGACAUAAAGCGGACGGUUGUAGAGAUACAGCUUCCCUUCGGGGUCGCUUUACAGGUGCUGCAUGGCUGUCGUCAGCUCGUGCUGUGAAGUGUUGGGUAAGUCCCGCAACGAGCGCAACCCUUGCUGUCUGUGCCCAUCAGGUAAUGCUGGGGACUCGGACGGUACUGCCGGUGACAAACCGAGGGAAGGUGGGGACGACGUCUAGUCAUCAUGGCCCNUAUGUCUUGGGCUACACACGUGCUACAAUGGCCGGUACAGAGCGAANCGGAACCGCGAGNUGGAGCAAUCGCAGANNAAUCGGUCCCAGUUCGGAUUGGAGUCUGAANCCCACUUCAUGAAGUGGAAUCGCUAGUA
This 539-nucleotide ribosomal RNA is filed under the name uncultured organism. RNAcentral describes it as "bacterial SSU rRNA". It matches the Rfam family "Bacterial small subunit ribosomal RNA", at positions 801 to 1340 of the family's 1533-position model. The record is from RNAcentral.